This 253-nucleotide ribosomal RNA is filed under the name uncultured bacterium. RNAcentral describes it as "partial 16S ribosomal RNA". It matches the Rfam family "Bacterial small subunit ribosomal RNA", at positions 524 to 776 of the family's 1533-position model. The record is from RNAcentral.
UACGAAGGGGGCGAGCGUUGUUCGGAUUUACUGGGCGUAAAGGGCGCGCAGGCGGCUCAUUUUGUCAGGCGUGAAAGCCCCGGGCUUAACCUGGGAACUGCGUUUGAUACGGAUGGGCUAGAGUUCGGGAGAGGAGAGUGGAAUUCCCAGUGUAGAGGUGAAAUUCGUAGAUAUUGGGAAGAACACCGGUGGCGAAGGCGGCUAUCUGGACCACAACUGACGCUGAGGCGCGAAAGCGUGGGGAGCAAACAGG